AGAGUUUGAUCCUGGCUCAGAUUGAACGCUGGCGGCAGGCUUAACACAUGCAAGUCGAGCGGAGAUGAGGUGCUUGCACCUUAUCUUAGCGGCGGACGGGUGAGUAAUGCUUAGGAAUCUGCCUAUUAGUGGGGGACAACAUUCCGAAAGGAAUGCUAAUACCGCAUACAUCCUACGGGAGAAAGCAGGGGAUCUUCGGACCUUGCGCUAAUAGAUGAGCCUAAGUCGGAUUAGCUAGUUGGUGGGGUAAAGGCCUACCAAGGCGACGAUCUGUAGCGGGUCUGAGAGGAUGAUCCGCCACACUGGGACUGAGACACGGCCCAGACUCCUACGGGAGGCAGCAGUGGGGAAUAUUGGACAAUGGGGGGAACCCUGAUCCAGCCAUGCCGCGUGUGUGAAGAAGGCCUUAUGGUUGUAAAGCACUUUAAGCGAGGAGGAGGCUACUGAGACUAAUACUCUUGGAUAGUGGACGUUACUCGCAGAAUAAGCACCGGCUAACUCUGUGCCAGCAGCCGCGGUAAUACAGAGGGUGCGAGCGUUAAUCGGAUUUACUGGGCGUAAAGCGUGCGUAGGCGGCUUUUUAAGUCGGAUGUGAAAUCCCCGAGCUUAACUUGGGAAUUGCAUUCGAUACUGGGAAGCUAGAGUAUGGGAGAGGAAGGGGUAAAAAUUCCAGGUGUAGCGGUGAAAUGCGUAGAGAUCUG
This 701-nucleotide ribosomal RNA is filed under the name uncultured Moraxellaceae bacterium. Its description in RNAcentral is "bacterial SSU rRNA". It matches the Rfam family "Bacterial small subunit ribosomal RNA", at positions 8 to 700 of the family's 1533-position model. The record is from RNAcentral. Lineage: Bacteria; Pseudomonadati; Pseudomonadota; Gammaproteobacteria; Moraxellales; Moraxellaceae.